CUAGAUUGGGGAAGGAAUUCCAAGGUUUUUGUUCACCAUAAUGGUCAUGAAAAACAUAACAAACAGAAAACCUAAAGUACAAUCAUGAGAGAACAUUGUAGAUGUUAACCUAGAUUGGGGAAGGAAUUCCAAGGCUCUCAACCAGCUCUUAGAAAUUGAUUUUAACAAUCCUGCAUCCCAAAUAAUUGUCAGUCUUCCAUAACAUGAGCGCCACACAUACAUUGAUGCGAUGACACACGUAUUACAAGACAAUGCCAUGAUGUAAACACAAAUAAGAGAGUAGGAAAAAAAAAAAAAAAAAGGGGCUAGCAGGAAG
Molecule: long non-coding RNA, 316 nt
Organism: Olea europaea var. sylvestris
Lineage: Eukaryota; Viridiplantae; Streptophyta; Magnoliopsida; Lamiales; Oleaceae
Exons: 2
Source: RefSeq, a predicted model, not a curated record